CUGUGAAAAUUUUUCUGUACUUCCUUCAUUCGAAACCCGAACUCAAAAGUAGGGGGACUGGUGUUGGGUAUAAGAUAACCCCAAUCGAAGUUCGUAAGAGGCUAACCCUCCCAAGAUUCUUUUGGCUUCCGACCUUGUGCGGUGUCUUUCUAAACUCCCCUGGCCGUCUGAGCUUCUACAGUACCAUCCGGACUCCUCC
RNAcentral lists this long non-coding RNA (199 nucleotides) under Elaeis guineensis (African oil palm). RNAcentral describes it as "long non-coding RNA (EGUI_LNC065664)". Lineage: Eukaryota; Viridiplantae; Streptophyta; Magnoliopsida; Arecales; Arecaceae. The record is from RNAcentral.